CGUUCCCGGGUCUUGUACACACCGCCCGUCACACCAUGGGAGCGGGUUUUACCAGAAGUAGGUAGCUUAACCGCAGGGAGGGCGAUUACCACGGCAGGGUUCGUGACUGGGGUG
Molecule: ribosomal RNA, 114 nt
Filed under: uncultured bacterium
Lineage: Bacteria
Description: partial 16S ribosomal RNA
Rfam family: Bacterial small subunit ribosomal RNA
Source: RNAcentral